UCCCCGUUGCCGGGGCAGUCUACCUAGAAAAAUCCAACUAAGUAUAAGGGUUGCGCUCGUUGAAGGACUUAACCUAACAUCUCACGACACGAGCUGAAGACGGCCAUGCAACACCUGUCACUGAGUUCCGGCGCUCAAAAUACAAUUGUUGUUGCGUUCACAUCAUUGUGUGAAUCGCAUCACAUUAUAUCCUCAGCGCCGGCACUCACUGCUUUCGCAGUAAUCCUCAGGAUGUCAAACCCUGGUAAGGUUCUUCGUUUACCAUCGAAUUAAAGAACAUGCUCCACCGCUUGUGCGGGUCCCCGUCAAUUCCUUUAUGUUUUAAGCUUGCGCUCGUACUCCACAGGCGGGAUGCUUAACGCGUUAGCUUCGCUACAGAAGGGGUCGAUACCUCCUACAG
This 400-nucleotide unclassified non-coding RNA is filed under the name uncultured bacterium. RNAcentral describes it as "contains 16S-23S intergenic spacer region". The record is from RNAcentral.